UACGAAGGGGGCUAGCGUUGCUCGGAAUUACUGGGCGUAAAGCGCACGUAGGCGGGUUGUUAAGUCGGGGGUGAAAUCCUGGAGCUCAACUCCAGAACUGCCUUCGAAACUGACGAUCUUGAGUUCGGGAGAGGUGAGUGGAACUGCGAGUGUAGAGGUGAAAUUCGUAGAUAUUCGGAAGAACACCAGUGGCGAAGGCGACUCGCUGGACAAGUAUUGACGCUGAGGUGCGAAAGCGUGGGGAGCAAACAGG
Molecule: ribosomal RNA, 253 nt
Filed under: uncultured bacterium
Lineage: Bacteria
Description: partial 16S ribosomal RNA
Rfam family: Bacterial small subunit ribosomal RNA
Source: RNAcentral